AAUAGAUACCCGGGUAGUCCACGCCGUAAACGAUGAGUGCUAAGUGUUAGGGGGUUUCCGCCCCUUAGUGCUGCAGCUAACGCAUUAAGCACUCCGCCUGGGGAGUACGGUCGCAAGACUGAAACUCAAAGGAAUUGACGGGGGCCCGCACAAGCGGUGGAGCAUGUGGUUUAAUUCGAAGCAACGCGAAGAACCUUACCAGGUUCUUGACAUCCCACUGACCGCUAUGGAGACAUAGUUUUCCCUUCGGGGACAGUGGUGACAGGUGGUGCAUGGUUGUCGUCAGCUCGUGUCGUGAGAUGUUGGGUUAAGUCCCGCAACGAGCGCAACCCUUGAUCUUAGUUGCCAUCAUUUAGUUGGGCACUCUAAGGUGACUGCCGGUGACAAACCGGAGGAAGGUGGGGAUGACGUCAAAUCAUCAUGCCCCUUAUGACCUGGGCUACACACGUGCUACAAUGGACGGUACAAACGGUUGCCAACCCGCGAGGGGGAGCUAAUCCGAUAAAACCGUUCUCAGUUCGGAUUGUAGGCUGCAACUCGCCUAC
RNAcentral lists this ribosomal RNA (545 nucleotides) under uncultured bacterium. RNAcentral describes it as "bacterial SSU rRNA". It matches the Rfam family "Bacterial small subunit ribosomal RNA", at positions 777 to 1319 of the family's 1533-position model. The record is from RNAcentral.